CUUAGGCUGGAGGGGAGAGCCUGGCCACCUUGGCCUACAAUCCUCGGCAAGAAGUCAGCGGGAAAGAGACCUGAGCUCAUUUCGUUCCUGGGCCAGAGUGAGCACUAUCUGGAUUUCUCAAUUUUGGAAAGAGAAACCUGAAGCAGUCCUGAUCUAAGGGAUAUAGAGCCAUCUUCCCUGGGUCCUUGGGGAGUCUCAGAGCCCUGAGAACAAAUAGCUUAGAUAGCCAUGACUCAGCAGAGCAGCAGCUCGCCCCUCACAAUGUCAGCAGUCCAUGCGACUUGGAAAAGGACGCUGGGGCUACAUUUCUGUGGCCUCCCUCAGCUGAGAAGCCAGAGCUGACCCAGCCCUUAGCAGGCCAGAGCUCCCCAUUGGCAGAGACGUCUGAGUAGGGAGAUUCUAUUUCUGGCUUCUUGAUAAGGCUUGGGGGAGUGGGUGUUACAGAAAGGUGGAAGCAGAGAGGUGAAGGCCCACAACGACCAAAAGGCAUAGUGCAGAAGGGCCUGAUGAUGGGGGAGAAAUUUUUCAGUAAUUUCUGUAAAUGCAAUGCAUUUUUCAGAAAGUUAAGAUUUUAGCCAUUUGGUACACUUGCCACCAUCUGGCAGCUGGAAGCAGGAUCAAUUCCAAAAUCCGGCCCAUGGCACGCCACAGGAAAACUAGAACCGCUCCUGGAUGCUGGGUUCAUAGUAUCCCUUACUUUGUACCAGCACUGAACACGUGCUCUCCAUGUGCCGCUACAUUUAGUCCACACCAACCCCUCCAGAUCCGAGGUCAGGGGGAUCAGGGUCUGCGUGUGUGUUGCCAGGAGGUGCUGAGAAGUUGGGGGAGUGACGUGUAAUCUUCUCCCCUUCCCUCAGUGGGGUAGGUAUGCCCAGAACUAUCCUCAUGUGUACAUGUCUUCAGAGUUAAACAAUUGUCACAGUCUACUUACCUACAUGGAUCUAUGAAAUACCUUUUCACAGAAAACAAAGAAGUGACUUUCCUUCCACUGAUUGCCAUAUGGGCCACUUCCUGAACCUGAAAGAGAUGCCGUACCCCGAACACCAGGUCCUCAGCUCUAGCAAAUACAGGAGGGACAAGUUUCAGCCUCCGGCUGUCAGGGAGCAGCAAAUACAGAGGUGGGACCAGACCAGGCUCAUGGGAGUUUGUUCAUCAUUUCAUAGCCAUAUUAUGACCCAGUCUGAGAGGGCUGGAGAGUAAUUUCCAAGCCCUUAGGAAGUAGAUAGUCUAAGCCAUUGUUUUUGGGUUUUACGUGCUCUUGUGGUCAAUUCCUUUUUCUUCCUUUUUUUGAAAGGCAAACAAAUAGCCUAACAGCAAUAACAGUCAACAGGAUGGUGGCACAUCCGGGUUCAGACUCCAGCCUCCUCUUGCUGUAGUCAAAGUUAAUUAAUUCCCACUAAGCUUUGAACUAGGUUCCCUGCAGGUCUGUGCUGGGCCCUGCCCUGGCUGUCAGGGGAGGGCAUGGCUGGUUUGGCUCUGGGUGUGCUGUCCUGCGCAGGGGGAUGGAGAAGGGGGUAUGUUUCACCUUUGCAUGGGAUUGCCUCUCCUCUUCUCCUCCCGGGAGGUGACCAUUUUCAGAUCUGUGGGUGGGGAGGAAAAUCUUCUCUUCCAAAAAUAAUCUCUUUCUGCAGUGGGGUUUGAAGCUGGACCAAGCUGCUAGCGCUAUUUUUACCCAGCUUGCAGUUCAGGGUGUAAAUAGCAACUCUGGCUGUUUUUUCCCACAGCUGACAACAGAGUCGACCUCUUUGAGGCAGAAGCAUUCUGGCGUUUUGCACAGAGGAAACAGAACCAAAGUUGCCCUCGGGCCAAGGGGCUGACUCCUUGACCACUGGGUCAGUAUACAAACAGGGGUGGCAUCUCCAUGGUUGUGUUAUCUCAGUCUCUGCGGUAAACACCAGGCCCCAUGAUGGCUGCUUUGCUGAGGCUGAUUCAAAGAAGCACAGUGUGGAAUCACGAGGAGAAGGCAGGCCCAUAAAUCUCUGCCUGAGCACACUGAGGGUUUCAGGAGCUUGAGCAGCUCUGGACUCCAGCUGGCUGUCCCCCUUGCCCUCCCUCGUGCAUUAGCAAGCACUUCUUCCAAGGUUGCCACCCUUGGAGGGUUUCUUGCCCCAACCUCACCAGAUCAGGAGCUGAGGAAUGAGAGAAAAAACAACCAUUUGAGGCUGCCCAGAUGACAGAAUGUCCCUAAAAACAUGUACCUCCUUGCACUCAAGUGAUUGGAGCCCCCACAGUCUGCGGUAUUAGAAAGUGUCAUUUCGAGGGCGUGGUGAGAGGACUGGCUCCCUCCAGGCCACUCAUGAGCGGAAGCUGUGAGAAACUAACCAAAUCCUGGAGUUAUGUCUCCAAUUGGCCUGGGUGAGGUGGGAAGUUCAGCCUCAGAGAGGGCCCCUCGUUGAUACAGUUGAUGAGCAAGAUGAAUCAGCAAAGACUGAGACGUGCCCAUCACACUUGGCAAUUCCCUAUUGCUUCUCCUCUGGGGAGCAAACAGACUUUAGUGGCUUUUCUCUGAGGCCAAGUUUCUUACCCAAAUCUUUCCCUGGGGUCUUUGGUCUGAAAUUAGAAAGGAGUUAGGAGUCAGCAGGAAAAUCACUCUUCAUUAUGAAUUACACAGCAACUCUUCAUGGAACUGCCCGUCUCCUUCCUCUAGGUACACAUCGAUCAUCAUCAAUCAAUCCGAGAAUUUCUCAAAUAUCCACCACAGACUCAGAAAUGGGCAUUUAGGCACAUGGUUCAAGUUUCAGUUUCUUCCAGCAGAUGACAUGUGGGGUAAGAAAAGGACUGGAGGACAGAUAAGUAGCUGAGCAAUCCCCAGAUCUGCUUUUUUGAGACUGGUUUCAGUGCAGCUCCUUGGAAUUGAUUCUGGGCAGCUGUUAAUUGCAAAACUCACUGCCAAUUAUCGAUAGCUAAAGUGGCAUUGGAGAGCUGCUGAUGGUAAAAAUAGGGGCAGGUAAUAAUGAGAAAAUAGCUUUGCAUUUAGAACAGAGGAUGGGAACAUAUUGUCUCCAACUGCUGUGUCGUGGGUUUCCAUUGUUAACUUGAGUUCUCUCCCAGGACCAGCCAGCAAAGCCUACUUAGUGACCUCCAGCAAAAAGUCCACCAGUGAGCUGCGCAGGAUGAGAUCAAAGCUUUGUCUCGGCAGCCAGACCAGAGGAGAUCCUGGUUCUCACUAUGCUCAGAGUCACAUUAAACAAACAAUACCACAGUUUUCACUAAAACCCGUUGAAUUUUAAAUGUACUGUUGACUAAAUUAGGGAGUUAUCGUUCAGUUGAUCUGGUAAUCCAUUUGUCCACCAAACUUCAGAUUUACAAACAAUGGUUUUCUGGGAAAGCCUCUUGAAGCCUGGAUGGUAAAUGUUUACCUUAAAAAAGCAAAAACUGAAGAAGGCAAAAGUGGCCUGGUGAGUAAAACCAAAAGCCUGCAGCAGACGGUCACGUUGCUGGACUGACUGUUUGUUUUGAAAAAUGUUCCCAUUCCGAGCCUUGACAUUGGGGAAAUUAGGAACAUGGUAACCGACUUCCUGUCUAGUAUUUCCCUGGAUUUCCUGGAAUCCAAUUUGAAGUGUCGUUUUCCCCUGAACCACCAAGGAGUUAAACUUUGGCUCUGUUCUCCCAGUGACUAAUAGGCACCGUGUGGCUCUGAGAUCAGCGAGAAAGAAACUGACAGUCGGCGUGGGAAGUGUGCGAGAUUUCAGUGCUCUUGAAAUGCCUUUGAUGGGCAUGGUGAGCGAGCACAAGGAUUAUUGCCACCUAGAGCCCCUGAUUGUGUAAUUUGAUCUUGAAUUCUUGUUUCUCUCUUUGAAUUUUGCUUGAUUUUAAAGGAGGAUCUCGGACUCCUUUGGGGGCUUGAUAUGACUGCAGUGUGUGAGUUAUUCCACGGAGAAUGAUAUUUUAGGCAACAAACUAAUUCCACCACUUUGAAAAACAACCCACUUUGGUUGAAAACAAAGCAGAAUCAAGUGACCUGACCAAAUGGCACUUGACGUGUGUUAGGAAGACUUGUCUUCCCGCUCUUGCUGUUUUCUUUCUUGUGAGAGGAGCCCAAUUAGCAUAACACUCCUGGCUUCUCACCACCCUCCCCCACCCCCAUUCUUCCCUGGGAAGGAGGAGUGGUUUAAGAUGACUGAUGAGUUUGGAAGGAGAAACUAUGCCUCAUACCAUCUUCUCUUCCUUUCUUCUUGGGAGUCAACACUCCUCCCGCAGGGUGGAAAGGAGAGGCCCAUUCUGGCCCAGCUGCCUAUUGCUGAGUGUCCACGUAUGAUUUUGAGCCCAAGUGUCAGGAAGCUCAUUGGCCUGAGAAUGUAAGCCACAUUCUCUAAUAUCAGCCUUAUUAGUAAUAAAGGUUAUUUUCGGUCCUCAUCUAGCUUACUGCUAUCUUACUUCUGAUUCACUUCAAAACUCGCAGAAAAGGGGAGGCGACUGCUAUUUUGAGGCCUCCUCGAAGACCCCAACAUAUUUACCAGGCGGCUUCCUGGUGGUUAGAAAAAGCCUUGUGUUGGGAUGAAACCCUGGCUUCUAGAUCCACAUCACUACUUUCUUAUAGGACAACAGGUUCUUUAGUUGUCAAAUGAGUAAAGGGGAGUUUACAGAAGGUGUUCCUUCCAGCUGAAAUGUAUCCAUUCAAAACUUAUUUAUUGAAUGCCUACUAUGUGCCAGGGAGUACAACGGUGAUCAAGAGAGACAGUCUCUGCUGCCACACAGUUUAUAAUCUAACUAGGGUGCAUCAAUUAGAAAGUUUAAUGUUCCAAGUGAAAUGAAACCAUCUCAAACAGGCUGAAGCAAUAAGGAAAAUUUAUUGGCUCACUGGGGAUCCAGGCACGAUUUGAUCCAGGACUCAAACAACAGGGAUCCAUUUCUUGGCUCUGCUUCCUCUGGGUGGGAUUCAUUCUUUUGUCACCAUAUGAUGCAACCCCUCCUCUCUCCUGGCAGCUCCACACUUUCCACUAUGACUGCAGGAGAAAUGAGAUGUACCAUUUACCAGGCUGAGAAGAGUCCAAGUGCCAACAUUCCCUACAGACUCCUGAGGUCCACUCUGAUUAGACCAUUUCAGGGCACAGGCCUCCCCUAAAGCGAUGACCGAGCUCAGAGUGAUAGAUACACUGAUGGGCUCAAACCCAGUGGGGUCCAUCCCUGGAUGGAGGAAAGUUGGGCCCUCCCUAUAUGGCUCAGAAAUUUAGAAAUCUAUUAGGAAGAGAGAGGGGGCAGCAACCAGUAACUGUCCACGAUAGAAAGACAAUAAAUAAAAUGAGAAUUUUGCUUUGAGGGAACAAUUCAGCCUGUAGAAAAUGCAGGAAUCCCUUUUUCCCUGGUGAGUCUAGCACAGGCCUGGGAAUCCAGAGAAUUGGCUUCCAAAUCCUGUGCAGGGCCCCUAUACACAACAGGCCCUCAGGAAAGUUCUGGAGGUUGACAGACUUUGCUCCUUGAUCUCACCUCUCUGGAACUGCCCUUGGGUUGGAUUCUCCUGCUCUGUGAUCCCUUUUCUUUUUUUGGAAAGGAGGAUAACAUGUACCUGAGAGGGACACUAAAAGGAUAACUGAGGUGACAUCCACAAAGCAUCUGUCACUAAAUAAACCCAAGCUAUCUAUUGACCUGUGCUUGUGAUUCUUUCAGAUUUAAGGACAUUUAGCCAGUGGUUUAGGGGCUAAACAUUAACCACAUUGGGGCAGAUCAGCACCACAGGAGCUAUGAGCCGUGAAGAUACACAGGCCUUCGGUGUUCUAAGUUCAAAAGAUCUGUGUGAAACAAGGUAUAACCCAAAUUAGUUGAAAAUGGACAGCAAUACAGUCAAACAUGCCAGAUAAGGAGAGUGCUCCAGCUAAGUACCACAGCUAGUUCUCAAAAGGUAUGAGUAUUUGCCAAGCAACCCAGAAGUACCAGCGGGGCCUGAGCAAUCCUUUGCUUCUUCAUUCAACAAACAUUUAUUGGGUACCCCCUAUACAAGAAGCUACUGUAGGAACACAAUCAAUGAUGAGACUGACACAAAUCCUUUUCAGAAAAAAGAAGGAAUCUCCAUUUAUCAAUAGGUAAAUUAUUAUAAGAAACCAGAUUACUAUAUGCAAAGCUAAAAUGAACUCAAGAUCUACUAUGAUACCAGAGACAGAAGGUAAAACUAGUUUCAUUUUGUGGAGGAAGUUGGAGAAGGAGUGGGCCAUGCCUACCGAAUGAAUCUUGCAUUAAGGCAUAGACAAAUGUAUAGGGUUAAGUUGAGAGAUUGCGAUCAACUACACAGUCUUUUUUGGUCUCCCAAAUAAAUGUGACUCAGUCCUCUGAACACCCUCCAGCAGCAGUUAUUUGCACCUUUCUUACUGUUC
RNAcentral lists this long non-coding RNA (6308 nucleotides) under Equus asinus (donkey). RNAcentral describes it as "lncRNA (ENSEASG00005035241.1)". The record is from RNAcentral. Lineage: Eukaryota; Metazoa; Chordata; Mammalia; Perissodactyla; Equidae.